RNAcentral lists this long non-coding RNA (1287 nucleotides) under Rhinopithecus bieti (black snub-nosed monkey). RNAcentral's name for it is "lncRNA (ENSRBIG00000046179.1)". The record is from RNAcentral. Lineage: Eukaryota; Metazoa; Chordata; Mammalia; Primates; Cercopithecidae.
UUUCCCUUUUGAAGCCCUCAGAUAGUUCGCUGGAAUUUUAAUUUUAAUGGCAAUUUCUUGCAUCUGUUGUAACAGCAUUCGUAUGACCAGCUUAUAAGCAAUGAUCAGGGCUAGUAAGAUGUCACAGAGCUGCGGUGACUUUUCCUUAUCAGUUGGGGGUUCUUUUGCCAUGAAACCAUCGUGGAAAUGGAAGACAACGUGAAAAUCCUGCGUCCUUGUGAUAUUUCAUCAGUGGGAGUCAGCGGGGAUCUUAACGCAGUGAGAGGCAAGAUAAAUGGAUGAGAGGCAUCAGCUCAGGCUUACAGGGCCAAGAUGUUUUUAGUCAGUGUUUAAGAUAGCUCUCUAAACUUGGAGCAGUGAAAUCCAAAAACGAGUGUCUUUUGAGGGCAGCUGGAAGAUAACCCGAGAGGAACUUUUAUCCUGGGGUGGAGUCCUGCGAAGCAAGCCGCAGGUGAGGGCGUGGGCCAGUCCUGCGCCUCACUGCUAUUAGGCGCAAGGACAUUCCGAAACACACUCAACGACACCAGCAGCGAGCCUCACAGAAGUGGCUCGCCAGCGGGAACAACAACUUGAGGCGAGCCGUUAGCCGCCUCGCCUUCCCCGCAGCGCCCCUCCCUCUCCCCGGGAAGCCCGUUCGGCUCCGCCUUUUCGGCUGACGUCCCGGGCGAGCGGGGGAGGGCGCGUGGGUGGGCCGAGCCGUCUGCAGCCAGCGAUUCGGCUGGCUCUGCCACACCACCGCGCGCCCCCGCUCCGCCCGCCCCUCCGGGCGCGUCUUUUCCGGGAUCGCGCUGAGCCCCGCCUCCGCCGGCUGUCCGGGUGCGCGCGCGCCGCUGCGGCUUUUUCUCUGGCCUCCGUGGCGCGCUUCUCCUCGUCCCAGCGCUAGCGGGCACGCGGUUCCUUUUUGCGAGCUUCCCGAGUGCCAGGCGCCGGCCGGCUGCGAAGACGCGGUGGGCCGCCCCUCCGAUUGAAAUCACAGAAGAUAUUCGUGUUCUUCUUAAGAGAAAAGAGGACAUUUGCAUACUGUAUUGUCGGCUUCCAAAGAUUACUAACUUAUCUGUAUCACUGAGAUUGAACUGCCUUGGCUGUACUGCUAUUCUUACUGCUGCUUCUAUUAUUGCCUUCUUCAGCANCUUUAAAAACCAUCAAGACCAUAUAUGAUUAAGAUUUUCCCUCCAUUUCUCCUAAAAAAAAGUAAGUUAGUAAAUUUCACUAAAUGAUUGAGAUGUAAUCAGUGGUUCAGACUUUAUGGCAGUUGCUGCCAAAUGUUUCUUCAUUUUUUAAAUAACC